Molecule: ribosomal RNA, 284 nt
Filed under: uncultured bacterium
Lineage: Bacteria
Description: partial 16S ribosomal RNA
Rfam family: Bacterial small subunit ribosomal RNA
Source: RNAcentral
UGCAAGUCGAACGGUAGCAGGCCCUUCGGGGUGCUGACGAGUGGCGGACGGGUGAGUAAUACGUAGGAAUCUGCCUAAUGGAGUGGGAUAACCUAGGGGAAACUUAGGGUAAUACCACAUUAAGCCUUACGAGGUAAAGCAGGGGAUCGCAAGACCUUGCGCUAUUAGAUGAGCCUACGUCGGAUUAGCUUGUUGGUGGGGUAAAGGCCUACCAAGGCGACGAUCCGUAGCUGGGUCUGAGAGGACGACCAGCCACACUGGGACUGAGACACGGCCCAGACUCC